AGAGUUUGAUCAUGGCUCAGAUUGAACGCUGGCGGCAAGCCUAACACAUGCAAGUCGAGCGGCAUCGAAAGAAAAUAUUUUUUUUUCUUGUCGGCGAGCGGCAAACGGGUGAGUAAUAUCUGGGGAUCUGCCCAAAAGAGGGGGAUAACUACUAGAAAUGGUAGCUAAUACCGCAUAAUGUUGAAAAACCAAAGUGGGGGACCUUUAUGGCCUCAUGUUUUUGGAUGAACCCAGA
RNAcentral lists this ribosomal RNA (235 nucleotides) under Buchnera aphidicola (Aphis sambuci). RNAcentral describes it as "partial 16S ribosomal RNA". It matches the Rfam family "Bacterial small subunit ribosomal RNA", at positions 8 to 235 of the family's 1533-position model. The record is from RNAcentral. Lineage: Bacteria; Pseudomonadati; Pseudomonadota; Gammaproteobacteria; Enterobacterales; Erwiniaceae.